RNAcentral lists this long non-coding RNA (1076 nucleotides) under Delphinapterus leucas (beluga whale). RNAcentral describes it as "lncRNA (ENSDLEG00000020583.1)". The record is from RNAcentral. Lineage: Eukaryota; Metazoa; Chordata; Mammalia; Artiodactyla; Monodontidae.
CUUUUUGUCUUUAGUUCAAGGAGAGUAUGUAGUUAAAAUACUGCUUUCAGAAGUUACCUGGGGUUAAUUCUUUUCCCCCAGCCUCCUUCAGUGUAGUUAUAUUAUUCAUUUCAAAUAUAGUUAGGUACAUUUUUUCAUUUGUGUUUCAUUUUGGGUUCUUCCCUCCUAUUAUUAUUAGCAGCAGUAGCAGUAGCAGUAGUAGUAGUAGUAGUAGUAUAUGAAACAUUAAUGUGGUUUUAAAAGAACUGUACAAAAAGAUUGGUUAGGUUAUUAGAGUACUGAGAAAUAAAACUUAUGACUUUUAAUUGUGUUUGUUCUUUCAGGGAAUCAUUUAAUACUUCACAUUAGGACAAAUAUGUGAAAGUUCCUGCCAACCUGUGAGAAUUUCUUCCUUUGGACAUUUUUUGUUCUACUUACUGUACAACUUUCUUAGAAGCUCUUUUUUGAUGCCAUGUUCUGUGGCUUGCAUCAAAAGAGGAGUUUGUCUUCAUGAAGAUUCCUAACAUUGGUAAUGUGAUGAAUAAAUUUGAGAUCCUUGGGGUUGUAGGUGAAGGAGCCUAUGGAGUUGUACUUAAAUGCAGACACAAGGCAAGUACAUAAUUUUUAAAAAGAAGAUAUCUAUAUAUGUUUAACUGUUUUGAAACUAAUGUAGUGUUCUGUGCAUGUGGGCAUAUAAUUAAAACUGGCUAUGAUGGUGAUGAUGCUUAAUAAAGGAGAAUUAAUAUGGGAACCCUGAAAAAAGAGACUUCUUUGGGUAAGCUUUAUCAUGAUUAAGUAGUUAGUUCUUUACAGUCAUGUGCUCUUUUUUUCAACUGACCUAUGUGUAGGUGAAAAGCUGCCUAAUGGGAAGAGAGAAAAGAUGGUAGAGAAGAAAUCAAAGUAGUGACAGAUUUAAUUUAUGUUCAAGUACUUAAGAGCAAGGAGGAGUUUCAUGUCAACAUUUUUCUUGUAGACCCAAUAACUUAGACUGCUUAUUGGGUCAGAAUCCAGAUUUUGAAGGGUAGUGUAUAGGUGUUUGGUUAUGAAAUAGGGCUUGGGGUAAUAGUGUAUGAUUAUGACUGUUAGCUGUGGUUGAU